AUUGAACGCUGCGCAGCUACACAUGCAGUCGAGCGGUAGCACAGAGAGCUUGCUCUCGGGUGACGAGCGGCGGACGGGUGAGUAAUGUCUGGGAAACUGCCUGAUGGAGGGGGAUAACUACUGGAAACGGUAGCUAAUACCGCAUAACGUCGCAAGACCAAAGUGGGGGACCUUCGGGCCUCAUGCCAUCAGAUGUGCCCAGAUGGGAUUAGCUGGUAGGUGGGGUAACGGCUCACCUAGGCGACGAUCCCUAGCUGGUCUGAGAGGAUGACCAGCCACACUGGAACUGAGACACGGUCCAGACUCCUACGGGAGGCAGCAGUGGGGAAUAUUGCACAAUGGGCGCAAGCCUGAUGCAGCCAUGCCGCGUGUGUGAAGAAGGCCUUCGGGUUGUAAAGCACUUUCAGCGGGGAGGAAGGCGGUGAGGUUAAUAACCUCAUCGAUUGACGUUACCCGCAGAAGAAGCACCGGCUAACUCCGUGCCAGCAGCCGCGGUAAUACGGAGGGUGCAAGCGUUAAUCGGAAUUACUGGGCGUAAAGCGCACGCAGGCGGUCUGUCAAGUCGGAUGUGAAAUCCCCGGGCUCAACCUGGGAACUGCAUUCGAAACUGGCAGGCUAGAGUCUUGUAGAGGGGGGUAGAAUUCCAGGUGUAGCGGUGAAAUGCGUAGAGAUCUGGAGGAAUACCGGUGGCGAAGGCGGCCCCCUGGACAAAGACUGACGCUCAGGUGCGAAAGCGUGGGGAGCAAACAGGAUUAGAUACCCUGGUAGUCCACGCUGUAAACGAUGUCGAUUUGGAGGUUGUGCCCUUGAGGCGUGGCUUCCGGAGCUAACGCGUUAAAUCGACCGCCUGGGGAGUACGGCCGCAAGGUUAAAACUCAAAUGAAUUGACGGGGGCCCGCACAAGCGGUGGAGCAUGUGGUUUAAUUCGAUGCAACGCGAAGAACCUUACCUGGUCUUGACAUCCACAGAACUUUCCAGAGAUGGAUUGGUGCCUUCGGGAACUGUGAGACAGGUGCUGCAUGGCUGUCGUCAGCUCGUGUUGUGAAAUGUUGGGUUAAGUCCCGCAACGAGCGCAACCCUUAUCCUUUGUUGCCAGCGGUUAGGCCGGGAACUCAAAGGAGACUGCCAGUGAUAAACUGGAGGAAGGUGGGGAUGACGUCAAGUCAUCAUGGCCCUUACGACCAGGGCUACACACGUGCUACAAUGGCAUAUACAAAGAGAAGCGACCUCGCGAGAGCAAGCGGACCUCAUAAAGUAUGUCGUAGUCCGGAUUGGAGUCUGCAACUCGACUCCAUGAAGUCGGAAUCGCUAGUAAUCGUAGAUCAGAAUGCUACGGUGAAUACGUUCCCGGGCCUUGUACACACCGCCCGUCACACCAUGGGAGUGGGUUGCAAAAGAAGUAGGUAGCUUA
This 1411-nucleotide ribosomal RNA is filed under the name Klebsiella variicola. RNAcentral's name for it is "bacterial SSU rRNA". It matches the Rfam family "Bacterial small subunit ribosomal RNA". Lineage: Bacteria; Pseudomonadati; Pseudomonadota; Gammaproteobacteria; Enterobacterales; Enterobacteriaceae. The record is from RNAcentral.